RNAcentral lists this ribosomal RNA (1443 nucleotides) under Triticum aestivum (bread wheat). Its description in RNAcentral is "partial small subunit ribosomal RNA". The record is from RNAcentral. Lineage: Eukaryota; Viridiplantae; Streptophyta; Magnoliopsida; Poales; Poaceae.
AUGGAGGGUCUCCCAGAGGCACUGCUUGCAGAGAUCUUGAAGAGGGUUACCAAGACAAGUGAUCGUAAUUCUCUUUCCCUCGUGUCGAAGCAGCUGUGCACCGUCGAGGCAGAGCACAGGGAUGCUAUCCGUGUUGGCCGUGGACUCAAACCUACAAUAGCAGCCUUGGUAUCGCUGUUCUCCCGGUUCCCCAAUUUGGUUAAAGUAGAGAUAAAUUAUUCUGGAUGGAAGCCCAGUUACAGGGGCCAGUUGAAAAACCAAGGCCUCCUUGUUCUAUCAUCUCACUGCCCCUUGCUGUCUGAUCUUGCUUUAAGCUUCUGCACUUCCAUUGAUGACUCUGGUCUUGGUUAUCUAGCUGACUGCAAAAGUUUGAUGUCCCUCAGGCUGAACCACACACCAGCUGUCACUUCUACUGGGAUUUUUCGGGUGGCGGUUGGUUGCAGGCAUCUUUCGGUUCUCCACCUUGUUGACUAUACGGGAGUAGACAACAUGGAGUGGCUUGAGUACCUUGGGAGGUAUGGAUCGUUGAGGGAACUUGUUGUAAAGGAUUGCAAUGGAAUCAGCCAGUAUGACAUCAUAAAAUUUGGUCCAGGAUGGGCGAAUCUCCAAAAAUUUGAGUUCGAGAAUAAUGGAAAUUACUGGAUGACAGGGGCCCGUGACCCCUCCAACGUGUCUGGAUACCCAUAUAGCUAUGACAUCUGCUGUGAUAGUUUGAAGGACCUUAGGUUGGCUCAUUUUAGAACUCAGCCAGAGAUUGGACUUCUUUUUCUCCUGGGGAAGUGCAAAGCAUUGGAGACACUUUACCUGGAGUAUGUUAUUGGUAUAAAUGAGAAUGAGAUGAUUGCACUAUUCCAGAGGUGCAGCAACCUUAAGACCAUCUCACUUCGGCUUAUGCCUGUGCGAUGUGAAGAUUAUGAGUUUAGGACGCCACUGACUGAUGUUAGCCUUAAGGCUCUAGCUCUCAGCUGCCCUAUGCUUCAGGUUGUAGAGCUCACUUUCACAUAUUGCGAACACAAGUAUCCUACCAGAAUUGGCUUCACACAAAAGGGUAUUGUGACGCUCAUCCAAUCUUGUCCAAUUCACACUCUUUUGCUAGAUGGUGCCAACAUUUUUAAAGACAAGGGGAUGAAGGGCCUCUCAUCCUCGCGGUUCCUGGAGACACUCAAGCUCGUGAAUUGCAGGUCUGUUACUGAUGCUGGUAUUGGUUUCAUUAUUCAGGCUCCUUCCUUGAGCAGUCUCAUCCUCUGCGAAUGUGAGAAAGUGACAGAUGAUGGAAUGGCUGCGCUGGUACGUUUGCAGAAGUUGGAGUCCUUGAACGUUAUAGGGUGUUGUAAGGUCUCUGAGGAGGGUGUCCAGGGUGCUGCCAGAUCAGUUCACUACGCGGCAGAGGUGGAACGCUAUGACAUCCUAAAAGGAAUAAAGCUCACUCAGUCUUGGGAGUAA